UGGGUUGGUAAAUCUCGUGCCAGCCACCGCGGUUAUACGAGGGGCUCACAUUGACAUUCUCCGGCGUAAAGGGUGAUUAAAGAAAAUUCCACUAAAGCCACAAAACCCCCGAGCUGUCAUACGCUGACGGAGACAUGAGGCCCCACAACGAAAGUAGCUUUAAGAAUUCUUGAACUCACGACAGUCAGGAAACAAACUGGGAUUAGAUACCCCACUAUGCCCGACCGUAAACAAUGAUGAUAAAAUACACACAUCUCCGCCAGGGUACUACGAGCAUCAGCUUAAAACCCAAAGGACUUGGCGGUGCCUCAAACCCACCUAGAGGAGCCUGUUCUAUAACCGAUGAUCCCCGUUAAACCUCACCACUUCUUGUCAUCCCUGCCUAUAUACCGCCGUCGCCAGCUUACCUAUGAGAGAUCUAGCAGUAAGCUAAAUGGAAUUUUCCCCAAAACGUCAGGUCGAGGUGUAGCGAAUGAAGUGGAAUGAAAUGGGCUACAUUUUCUGAACCAGAAUACAACGAAAAGUGCUAUGAAAAAUCACAAUUGAAGGUGGAUUUAGUAGUAAAAAGAAAAUAGAGAGUUCUUUUGAAGCCGGCUCUGAGACGCGUACACACCGCCCGUCACCCUCCUA
RNAcentral lists this ribosomal RNA (630 nucleotides) under Moringua javanica (Java spaghetti eel). Its description in RNAcentral is "partial 12S ribosomal RNA subunit". It matches the Rfam family "Bacterial small subunit ribosomal RNA", at positions 488 to 1407 of the family's 1533-position model. The record is from RNAcentral. Lineage: Eukaryota; Metazoa; Chordata; Actinopteri; Anguilliformes; Moringuidae.